This is a long non-coding RNA of Lactuca sativa (garden lettuce), 588 nucleotides long. RefSeq lists it as uncharacterized. The record is from RefSeq and is a predicted model, not a curated record. Lineage: Eukaryota; Viridiplantae; Streptophyta; Magnoliopsida; Asterales; Asteraceae.
UUGGUUUUUUUGUUAUUGUUCUUUAGUAUUGUAUGUAAAGCUACCACAAUGUUUUCAAAUGGUAUUCAAAGAUCUUUCUGCAAAAUGUACUCUUCAAGGAAAUAAUAGAUAAAAUAAACUUUAUUUGACCCGUACAAUGGAUUUAGCUGUUUGAAGUCAAUUGCUGACAUUUUUUUCUCAUUUUCAUCGUAAUUGAUGUUGAUGACAUUUAGUCCUUUACAGGUUGGGAACACAAAACAUUAGCAGGUUCCAUCAUCAAUGAAUUGAAGGAAAGAAGACUCAAGAUGAUUUUGAACUAACCCUCUUGCCCUAAAUCCCUAAUUUCCCAUGUAUAGAUAGAGGAAGGAAACUGAUGGUGAUACAAGUAUUUGGGAAGCUCAAAAUUUUUACUUUAUUAACCAGGGUAUCUACUAAGCAGUACAACCUGAAUCUUUGUAGGUUGUGCUUGAAGGUGAAUUUGCUAAAAGCAACGUUAAAUGUGGGCUUCUCUCCCAUAUGUCUAAAUGAACAAAUUUUAACACAUUUGAAACCCUUUAAUAUUAUACAUUUCAUAACAUUUUUAAAAUUCCAAUAUUACCCUUUGUGAUC